RNAcentral lists this ribosomal RNA (254 nucleotides) under uncultured bacterium. RNAcentral's name for it is "partial 16S ribosomal RNA". It matches the Rfam family "Bacterial small subunit ribosomal RNA", at positions 524 to 776 of the family's 1533-position model. The record is from RNAcentral.
GACGUAGGGCGCGAGCGUUGUCCGGAUUUAUUGGGCGUAAAGAGCUCGUAGGCGGCUUGGCAAGUCGGGUGUGAAACCUCCAGGCUCAACCUGGAGACGCCACUCGAUACUGCUAUGGCUAGAGUCCGGUAGGGGACCACGGAAUUCCUGGUGUAGCGGUGAAAUGCGCAGAUAUCAGGAGGAACACCGGUGGCGAAGGCGGUGGUCUGGGCCGGCACUGACGCUGAGGAGCGAAAGCGUGGGUAGCAAACAGG